UACAGAGGUCCCGAGCGUUGUUCGGAUUCACUGGGCGUAAAGGGUGCGUAGGCGGCUUUGAAAGUCUGAUGUGAAAUCUCCGGGCCCAACCCGGAAAUGGCAUUAGAAACUGCAGGGCUAGAGGCUUGGAGGGGGAACUGGAAUGCUCGGUGUAGCAGUGAAAUGCGUAGAGAUCGAGCGGAACACCAGUGGCGAAGGCGAGUUCCUGGACAAGACCUGACGCUGAGGCACGAAAGCCGGGGGAGCAAACAGG
RNAcentral lists this ribosomal RNA (253 nucleotides) under uncultured bacterium. RNAcentral's name for it is "partial 16S ribosomal RNA". It matches the Rfam family "Bacterial small subunit ribosomal RNA", at positions 524 to 776 of the family's 1533-position model. The record is from RNAcentral.